Bos taurus (domestic cattle) is the source of this 682-nucleotide long non-coding RNA. NCBI's taxonomy places the organism in Eukaryota, Metazoa, Chordata, Mammalia, Artiodactyla, Bovidae. The record is from Ensembl.
UAAUAAUCUAGGCUCCCAAGGAUCGUAGAGUUCACAGGGAGAGCGGCCAGGCUGUAGAGAAGAAACAGAUCCCGGAGCACUCUGAAUCUCUGUAGAGGAAGUGCCCCCAUACCUGGGAAAUGGCUUCCAAAGAACAAGAGACUCAACCAACACCCCUGUUCCACAGCCACAAAGAACUUGAGCUUUCUGGUGGUGAACUGGACAUGGAAGUUGUUUUUACCAACAGGAGAAGAGGAAGAGUAACAGUUAUAAAGGGAAUUGACAGCAAGUUGGCUCAUCGGUUGCCAGGGAAACCAGCAGAGAGGUGGUGGAGAGGGAAAAUUCAAAGUGUGUUUGUUGCUGAGUACGGGCUUUCUCUAGUUGCGGUGACGGGGCUUCUCAUCGCAGUGGCUUCUCUUGUGGAGAAAGGGCUUUUGGCACCAGGGCUUUAUGGGAUUAGUUGCUCCACGGCAUGUGGAAUCUUCCUGGACCAGCGAUCAAACCCGUGUCCCCUGAAUUAUCAGGUGAAUUCUUAACCACUGAACCACCAGGGAAGUCCCAAGAAUGUUCCAUCUUUCAGUUCUGUUUGAUGUAAACAGUUGCACCUACAACAAGAUACUAACAGUCAGGUACCAAGAGGAAUUUUGAAAGAUACUCUAUAUAAAUAUAGGAAUUGCCCAAGCAAGCACUAAAACCUAUAGGC